RNAcentral lists this transfer RNA (74 nucleotides) under Candidatus Omnitrophota bacterium. Its description in RNAcentral is "Candidatus Omnitrophica bacterium tRNA-His". It matches the Rfam family "tRNA". Rfam says of the family: Transfer RNA (tRNA) molecules are approximately 80 nucleotides in length. Their secondary structure includes four short double-helical elements and three loops (D, anti-codon, and T loops). The record is from RNAcentral. Lineage: Bacteria; Pseudomonadati; Candidatus Omnitrophota.
GUGGCUAUAGCUCAACUGGUUAGAGCACUUGACUGUGGCUCAAGAGGUUGCGGGUUCGAUUCCCGUUAGCCACC